RNAcentral lists this ribosomal RNA (329 nucleotides) under uncultured eukaryote. RNAcentral's name for it is "partial 18S ribosomal RNA". It matches the Rfam family "Eukaryotic small subunit ribosomal RNA", at positions 1470 to 1796 of the family's 1831-position model. The record is from RNAcentral.
CCCUUAGAUGUCCUGGGCUGCACGCGCGCUACACUGACGAACUCAACGAGCUUAUCACCUUGGCAGAGAUGUCUGGGUAAUCUUUUGAAAGUUCGUCGUGCUGGGGAUAGAUGAUUGUAAUUAUUCGUCUUGAACGAGGAGUUCCUAGUAAGUGUGAGUCAUCAGCUCGCGCUGAUUACGUCCCUGCCCUUUGUACACACCGCCCGUCGCUCCUACCGAUUGAAUGGUCCGGUGAGGUUCUCGGAUUUUUUCUGUUGUUUGGUUCGCUAAACGAUUGAAGAGAGAAGUUACCCAAACCUUACCAUUUAGAGGAAGGAGAAGUCGUAACA